Molecule: unclassified non-coding RNA, 348 nt
Filed under: soil metagenome
Description: partial contains 5.8S ribosomal RNA, internal transcribed spacer 2, and large subunit ribosomal RNA
Rfam family: 5.8S ribosomal RNA (bases 1-120)
Source: RNAcentral
GAUGAAGAACGCAGCAAAAUGCAAUAAGUAAUGUGAAUUGCAGAAUUCAGUGAAUCAUCGAAUCUUUGAACGCACAUUGCGCCCGCCAGUACUCUGGCGGGCAUGCCUGUCCGAGCGUCAUUUCAACCCUCAGGGCCCUCCAGCAGGGCGCUGGUGUUGGGGAUCGGCAGUCCCAGCGGCUGCCGUCCCUGAAAUGUAGUGGCGGUCCCACCGUGACCUCCCCUGUGCAGUACAUCGCUCGCAGAGGGACAGCGGUGCGGCCACGCCGUAAAACGCCCAACUCUUCAAGGUUGACCUCGGAUCAGGUAGGAUUACCCGCUGAACUUAAGCAUAUCAAUAAGCGGAGGA